This 637-nucleotide long non-coding RNA is filed under the name Felis catus (domestic cat). Its description in RNAcentral is "lncRNA (ENSFCAG00000047251.1)". Lineage: Eukaryota; Metazoa; Chordata; Mammalia; Carnivora; Felidae. The record is from RNAcentral.
AUUUCGGAAUUUAAGAUUCCGAAGAGAAAAUGAAAACGUCUGAGGCACAAGCAUGCAAAUAAGAUAUUAUAGUUAAUGAAGAACCUUUGUAUAACUGCCCAUUUGAGCUUAACAACAAGGAUAUGGCAAUAUAGUCAACAAGUGAGGUAUAUAAUAUUAAUAUGCUUACGUAGAUGAUGAGGCAAUGGGUCCCAGUUGGGAGAGCCACAACUUGGACCUGUGACUUACAAUAUAAUCAUGACUCUAAAUGAUCUUGGUCACGGGUUGCCACACUGAAUAAUUCCAGAUGGUCACCAUUUACAUCAUGAGGCCAUUCAACGAUCCUGAGUGGCUGACCGCGUUUAAAGCAAUCGGAAUAUUUACGAGCCCCAUGUAAGGCAUUUUGUAACAGCAAAGACUGUUGCUGUUUUUUGUUGUUGUUGUUGGUUUUCAUUUGUUUGUUUGUUUUUUGUGUUUUUUUAUCAGUAAAUACUGUUAGUAUUCUGGACAUGACUGAGGCGUUUUGUAUCAUUCUCAGCAUCUCAAGUGACCUGUCUCAUGUUCAAGAAUGAAAGCCGUAUAUUAUAUUGAAAGCAAAUAGAACUUCGCAGUAAAACGUUGGAAUUAAAAAAAAUAAAAUAAAAUCACCCAAAGGCCA